This 471-nucleotide ribosomal RNA is filed under the name uncultured bacterium. RNAcentral's name for it is "partial 16S ribosomal RNA". It matches the Rfam family "Bacterial small subunit ribosomal RNA", at positions 28 to 507 of the family's 1533-position model. The record is from RNAcentral.
GACGAACGCUGGCGGCGUGCUUAACACAUGCAAGUCGAACGAUGAAGCGGUGCUUGCACCGUGGCUUAGUGGCGAACGGGUGAGUAAUACGUGAGUGACCUACCUUUGACUCUGGGAUAAGCCUGGGAAACUGGGUCUAAUACCGGAUACGACCAAUCUCUGCAUGGGGUGUUGGUGGAAAGCGUUAUGGAGUGGUUUUAGAUGGGCUCACGGCCUAUCAGCUUGUUGGUGAGGUAAUGGGUUACCAAGGCGACGACGGGUAGCCGGCCUGAGAGGGUGACCGGCCACACUGGGACUGAGACACGGCCCAGACUCCUACGGGAGGCAGCAGUGGGGAAUAUUGCACAAUGGGCGCAAGCCUGAUGCAGCGACGCCGCGUGAGGGAUGACGGCCUUCGGGUUGUAAACCUCUGUUAGCAUCGAAGAAGCGAAAGUGACGGUAGGUGCAGAGAAAGCGCCGGCUAACUACGUG